This 262-nucleotide unclassified non-coding RNA is filed under the name Hevea brasiliensis (rubber tree). The record is from RNAcentral. Lineage: Eukaryota; Viridiplantae; Streptophyta; Magnoliopsida; Malpighiales; Euphorbiaceae.
GGGAUGAUGACACACCAUGAAGCACACAGCAGGACCAAGGUUAAAGGCAUAAUGAAAUGUCAAAUUGUGGAAAACUAAAUAAGAAUGAACAUUGAAGGGCAAGAUCACAAGCCAUGGGUCUCUGAUGGCAUCAAGAUGACUAGUGAUCAUUGAUGCUCUGUGCGAUGGCUACAGGUGGCAUAGAAUGCUGUGAUGCAUCAAUUCAAUGCUCUAGAGUACGAGGUGAGAAGCAACCAGCAACAGUACGAGGCAAGACAUGAAA